CUACGGGUGGCAGCAGUGGGGAAUAUUGGACAAUGGGGGAAACCCUGAUCCAGCGAUGCCGCGUGUGUGAAGAAGGCCUGCGGGUUGUAAAGCACUUUCGGUUGGGAGGACUGCUUCUAGCACUAAUAUUGUUGGAAGUUGACGUUACCUUCAGAAGAAGCACCGGCUAACUCCGUGCCAGCAGCCGCGGUAAUACGGAGGGUGAAAGCGUUAAUCGGAAUUACUGGGCGUAAAGCGCGCGUAGGCGGCUAGAUCAGUCGGGUGUGAAAGCCCCGGGCUUAACCUGGGAACUGCAUCCGAUACUGUCUAGCUUGAGUACAGGAGAGGAGAGUGGAAUUCCACAUGUAGCGGUGAAAUGCGUAGAUAUGUGGAGGAACACCAAUGGCGAAGGCAGCUCUCUGGCCUGAUACUGACGCUGAGGUGCGAAAGCGUGGGGAGCAAACAGGAUUAGAUACCCGGGUAGUC
Molecule: ribosomal RNA, 465 nt
Filed under: uncultured bacterium
Lineage: Bacteria
Description: partial 16S ribosomal RNA
Rfam family: Bacterial small subunit ribosomal RNA
Source: RNAcentral